CUCGCGUUCCCGCGCGAAGCCGAAAACCCUUUGGCGCUCUGCGCGCGAUCGCGCCCCUCCCCUCCACGCCCCCGCCCGCCCUUUUCUUCCCCACCCGUCUCCGUUCCCCGCCAUCCACAUCCGACAUUCCUCCCCCAAGUUCUCUCCCAUCCCCAAAGUAUCAUCCAAUUUCCCUCCCCGCUAGCCACAAUGCCGACUCUUCGCAGCGCGACGGCGAACGCGUCCCCCGUGGCCACCCCAUCCCCUGCCGCGGCGAGCACGCCGCGCAGCGUCAAGCGCCGGCUGACGCCAGGCCGCGCCGGCGAGUCGCCCAAAGCGUCGCGGCACACCUCCCCUCACCGAUCCCCUCACGCCGGCACCGGAACUGUAUGCAUUCCGAAGCUGCUCUCGGCGUCGCCCAAGUCCUCCAGGAAGCGUCUCUACGGCGACCUUGUCGCAGCCGAGAAGCCCAAGUGGAAUCCCCGAGAUGCCGCGCAGAUUAGGGCUGUCAAGGAGGCGCUGCACGUGGCAACAGUGCCAUCGUCUGAAUUGGUUUGCCGGGAUAACGAGCUCAGGCGUGUCCUUGAGUUCUGCAAGGUGUGCGUCCAACAGGAGAAGGCUGGUAGUCUCUAUGUCUGCGGGUGCCCUGGCACAGGGAAGACAUUAUCUAUUAACAAGGUCAAGGAUAGCUUGGUGUGUUGGGCAGAUGAGAUGGGAAUGGAGACACCUGAUGCCUUAGCAAUCAAUUGUACAAACCUAGCAAACACCUCAGAGAUUUUUGGCAAGAUACUAGGCAAAUUGCAGAACCAAAAGAAGGGAAGCAGCAAAUUGUUGCCACUUCAGCAACUUCAGAGCAUGUUUUCCAACAAGGAUUUAGCUCCAAGAAGAAUGAUGUUGGUUAUUGUGGAUGAGAUGGACUACUUAAUAACAAGAGACCGUGCUGUGCUACAUGACCUUUUCAUGCUUACGACUUAUCCAUUCUCUAGAUGCAUACUAAUAGGAAUUGCUAAUGCCAUAGAUUUAGCAGACCGGUUUCUUCCAAAGCUUGAAUCCUUAAAUUGCAAGCCUCUUGUUGUGACUUUUCGAGCAUAUUCCAAAGAUCAAAUAACUGACAUAGUUAAGCAUAGGCUAAAGGUUCUUGAGUAUGAUGUAUUUGAACCACUAGCUCUGGAGUUCUGUGCUAGAAAAGUGGCGGCAGCCUCUGGUGACAUGAGAAAAGCUCUAGGCGUAUGCAGGAGUGCUGUGGAGGUUCUUGAAGCAAGGCUACAUGAUUCGCCUGAUCAAGAAUUAGGAAUAGUGACAUUUGACCAUAUGGAUAUGGCUUUGUCAAAAGCAUUCAAGUCUGCUGUCGUAGAUAGCAUACUGUGUCUUCCCCAGCACCAACAGAUGGUGCUGUGUGCGUUGGCAAAUACUUUUCAGCAUUGCAAGAAAAAAGCAACUACUCUAGGAGAGCUCAACAAAUCAUACAUUGAGAUUUGUAGAUCAACCCAAGUUCCAGCAGUUGGAAUGCUUGAAUUUUCUAACAUGUGUAUGGUUUUGAGCGAUCAGGGGUUCAUGAAACUAGGGCAGUCCAAGGAAGAUAAGCUUAGGAGAGUAACACUUCAGAUUGAUAGUUCAGAUAUCACAUUUGCUUUUAAGGGAAAUCGCUUCUUUCAAAAAUGUCUGGAGCAGCCAAGAUGCUAACUAGACCCAUAGCAGAGAGUAGAUCAAUACACUUACUGUUGUAAUACAUUACAGUAUUAGUUUAUUGACAUUAUCAAGUACCAGCAAUUUCAACCCCUGGAUGUGCUGCUCAGGUGGUUUCAUUCAACAUGGUCAAACGUACCUUGGUUACAUCAUGAAGCUCUUUCUUGCAGUGCAGGGAUAAGUACGUGGGACGAGUUAUGAUAGUAUUAUGUGACACAAUUCUCCCAAAGAUGGCUGAGUGUUGUUAUGAUUUCUCAAUUUUUGGUUCUUCCAGAACUGAUUGAUCAUGUAGCUAAACAUUUAACAUACAAGAACAUUUGUUUACACAUUUCUUGCCUAAAGGCUAAAUCAGUAAUGAGAAGCUGCACUAAUUUAAUGUGUCUGCCAGAUCAAUUGCAUGCUUCUGAUACUUUAUACAGUGACAGUG
RNA transcript from Zea mays, 2092 nucleotides. It is a transcript of the gene named origin recognition complex pseudogene, with no coding region annotated. The record is from RefSeq and is marked validated. Lineage: Eukaryota; Viridiplantae; Streptophyta; Magnoliopsida; Poales; Poaceae. The transcript is spliced from 17 exons.